This 253-nucleotide ribosomal RNA is filed under the name uncultured bacterium. RNAcentral describes it as "partial 16S ribosomal RNA". It matches the Rfam family "Bacterial small subunit ribosomal RNA", at positions 524 to 776 of the family's 1533-position model. The record is from RNAcentral.
UACGAAGGGUGCAAGCGUUGUUCGGAAUCACUGGGCGUAAAGGGCGUGUAGGCGGAUUGAUAAGUUAGAGGUGAAAGCCCCGGGCUCAACCUGGGAACUGCCUUUAAAACUAUCAAUCUAGAAUCCGGGAGGGGAGUGUGGAAUUCCUAGUGUAGAGGUGAAAUUCGUAGAUAUUAGGAAGAACACCGGUGGCGAAGGCGACACUCUGGACCGGUAUUGACGCUGAGGCGCGAAAGCGUGGGGAGCAAACAGG